CCCAUUUAUAACACAAGGUCUUGGUCUUAAACCUCUCAUUAUCUAAACUCCAUACUUAUACAUGCAAGCCUCAACAUCACAGUGAAACAGCCCACCAUAGCCACUCAACGGAGCCGGUAUCAGGCUAACCGCCCAUAACACCAAGCAACCAAGCCACACCCCCACGGGCCCGCAGCAGUAGUUAAUAUUGGGCCAUAAGCGCAAGCUUGACCCAAUAAUGGAGCUUCACUAGGGCCGGUCAAUCUCGUGCCAGCGACCGCGGUUAUACGACAGGCCCAAGAUAAUUCCCCCGGCGUAAAGCACGACUAAAACCACAGUUCUUCCCAUUAGGAUUAAAGCUAAACCGGGCUGUAAAAAGCCAUAAGUCACACUAAAUAUUAUAAUCCUAAUACCAUAACACCUUCAACUCGUUAAAAUCAGGACACAAACUAAGAUUAGAUACCUUACUAUGCCUGACCACAACAAAACAAUCAAAUAACUAAUUGUUCGCCGAAUAACUACGAGUAAAAACUUAAAAUUUAAAAGACUUGACGGUACUUCAUACCAACCUAGAGGAGCCUGUCUAAUAACCGAUAAUCCACGAUUAACCCAACCAACUCUAGCCUGACAGUCUAUAUACCGCCGUCGCCAGCUUACCUUGUGAAAGAAAUAAAGUAAGCCUAAUAAUACCUCAUUAACACGACAGGUCGAGGUGUAACUAAUGGGUUGGACUAAGAUGGGCUACAUUUUCUCAACCAGAAAAAACGAACAGACUAUGAAACUAGAAACUGAAGGCGGAUUUAGCAGUAAGGGGGGAAUAAACAUACCUAACCGAAACUAAUGCAAUGAAGUGCGCACACACCGCCCGUCAUCCCUGUAAAACACUUAAUCUAUUCAUAAAUACCACUAUUUCACCAAAACAGGGCAAGUCGUAACAUGGUAAGCGUACUGGAAAGUGUGCUUAG
RNAcentral lists this non-coding RNA (944 nucleotides) under Drysdalia mastersii. Lineage: Eukaryota; Metazoa; Chordata; Lepidosauria; Squamata; Elapidae. The record is from RNAcentral.